This 232-nucleotide ribosomal RNA is filed under the name uncultured bacterium. RNAcentral's name for it is "partial 16S ribosomal RNA". It matches the Rfam family "Bacterial small subunit ribosomal RNA", at positions 118 to 351 of the family's 1533-position model. The record is from RNAcentral.
UGAGGAACCUGCCCCAGACUCUGGGAUAACUCGGGGAAACCCGAGCUAAUACCGGAUACCGUCUCCUUUGGGCAUCCUUUGGAGACGAAAGAAUUUCGGUUUGGGAGGGCCUCGCGGCCUAUCAGCUUGUUGGUGGGGUAAUGGCCUACCAAGGCAACGACGGGUAGCUGGUCUGAGAGGACGAUCAGCCACACUGGGACUGAGACACGGCCCAGACUCCUACGGGAGGCAG